AUGCAUGUGCUUGGCCGAGAAAGAGGGUGGGCUGCCUGCCUGCAUCACCGGUUGUGGUUGUGGUUGACUGCCGGCCGGCCUACCUCGGCCGCCAUUACUGCGGGGAGCAGGCAGCUCGGCUCACGAGGCUGGCGGUCUCACGCUCACGCUCACGGAGGCGUUGUGUUUGGCAGGGAGCGCUUUACGCCACUGAUCUACUCUGCCCGCCUCGAUCGGCCGGCCGCCAUUAAUGAACAGGCUCGGAGACGGCGUGCGUGCAUGCAUGCAGCUACCGGUGGAUCGACGGACGGAUGCCGGGCCGCUCCGGCCGGGGCGGGGCAUUUAAGGCGGCCACGGGCGCAGCUGCGCUACGCUACAGGUCGACGACGGCAGCCGCGCGCAGCAGACCAGAUGGCGUCCGGUCCGGCCAGUCAAGGGUUUGACCGCCACGUCGGGCUCUGA
Molecule: ribosomal RNA, 441 nt
Filed under: Triticum aestivum (bread wheat)
Lineage: Eukaryota; Viridiplantae; Streptophyta; Magnoliopsida; Poales; Poaceae
Description: partial small subunit ribosomal RNA
Source: RNAcentral